CCCAGUUUGGCAGUUAAGUGGGUGGGGCAGCACCUAGGAUUAUAUGGGAUCAAGGAGAAUCAAGGAGGAGGCUGUUCUUGAAGGAAGCUGUGUGAGGAAGGCUGAAGACAGCUGCUUGCUGAUUUCCAAGUUGACCACGUACAUGGACAACUGAGAGACCAGUUGACUGUGAACUACAAUAUUUCAAUUCCAAUCAAGGGUCUGUGCAUAAUGGCAUAUUAAUAUAAGCCUGAGAAUGUUCCUGCACUAAAAAUAGGAUUGGUAGAUUGAUCUUCUUUUGGCAUGACAGCCCUAAAGCAAAAGUAAUGCAAAGGUUUCCAACAUCAGCUGUUGGACUUAAAGUGAAGCAAUCAAUAGAAGUUCCAUCAGCUCAGCAUUAAUUUUCAGAUGUUCCUGUAUCCAUCAGUCUUGAGCUCCAGACAGAGCCAAACAGGGAGAAGAGACACCACCAGAACAGAGAGGUAAAUCCAAAUCUGAUCAGCAUGAAAAAGCUGACCGACAACAGAACUGACACAAGGCAGCUUAGAGAUGUUGAAAAGGACAGAGCUACCAGUAAGACCCAGGAAACUCCACAGAAAACAGCAGCUAGCUCAGAAAAAGAGCUCUCUGUUAUGAAUGAUACAGACACUUUCAACAUAGAUCAAGAAAGGCUUCAUUUCAACAAGACCGUUCAUACUCCAUCUGUUAGCUUCCUCAGCCUCCUAAGAGAUUGAUCAUGCACAGGGCAGGUUUGGAGAGUUGUCUGUAUAGGUGUAAAGUAAAAAGGGAUAAGCAAAACAGAAAAGGCAAGGGAAGCUGGUCCUGUGUUAAUGUUGAGAGGCCACCAAGCUCAAGAGGGAGUACAUGCUAGAAGCUAAGCAUCUCAUUAGCUUGGGUCUCAUUUAAGCUCAUGUUACCUCAGAUAUGCUCAUAUGGAUAACACAUGGUAAAAGACAAAACAUAGACACUGGACAACAUUUGGUGCUACAGAGCUCCAUUUUGGUGCUUCGAGCUCUUCCAAUGACAUUUUGAGACUUUCUGCCCAUCAAGCAGUGUGGAAGGGCCCUUCUCUGAAUUAAAGAAAAUAAUUACUAGUUGCUUGUUAUGCAAUAGUGACAAAACAUUAGAGAGUUUUCGUAUGAUCUGUAAGUAACUGCAUUGUACUGAUGGUGGUUGGUGCCCUUUCAGAAAAGGCACUUACUGCAAUUGCCAAUGAACAGUGUAAGCUGCUCAGGAAGUUUGCACCAUUAACACUGCCACUAGCAGCCACAAAGUAAGCUACCAAAAUCCCUCACUAGCACAAAGAUUACAUUUAUGCCUGUGUGCAACAGGGUAGAAAAUUUGUUCUGUUGACCCACCCCAUUAGCAGGGGUUGGCGCACUGCAGGGUUGAUGCUGAGCCAUUGUGGCAGGAGGAGGUGGGAUUGGCACUUCAAACAGAAGGAACUAAGGUCUGGGGAAAAGGUCUCUUCAGGAAAACCCUUGCAACAAUCAACUUGGGGAGAAUACUUAAGCUAAGGUGUGUUUUUGUUGCCUUGCUAUUGAGUUACCAAUGAAGCCAAGUCCCAGAAAUGGGAUAAAUCUGAAAAGGAUCAUGGUCUAAAGGUGCAAUGCAUAAUUUCUUUGAAUAAUUACUCAUUCAAAAUGUCAAUUUCAGAUGCACCUUUCCGCUGCGCCCAAUUACUUUGCACAGGGGCUAUUAGUCCCAGGAAAUUGUCAGUUUUACUCGUAUCAGUGGUAAGGAGUAGAAUCACAGAAAUGUAGAGCUGGAAGGGACCUCGAGGCAUCUAGUCCAGUCCCCUGUGCUAAGCCAGGAUGAUGUAUACCUAACCCACCCCUGGCAGGUAUUUGUCCAACCUGUUCUUAAAAGCCUCCAAGGACAGGGAUUCCACAACCUCCCUUGGAAGCCUAGUCCAGAGCUUAAUUGCCCUUAUAGUUAGGAUGUUUUUUCUAAUAUGUUACCUAAAUCUCCCUUUCAGCAGAUUCAGCCCAUUACUUCUUGUCCUACCUUCAAUGGACAUGGAGAACAAUUGAUCACCAUUCUCUUUAUAACAGCCCUUAAUAUAUUUAAAGACUCUUAUUGGGUCCCAUCUAUCAUUUCUUUUCUAAAAAGUAAACAUGCCCAGUUUUUAUGUUGUUCAAGACUUUUUAUUAUUUUAGGAGAAUUUCAGUUACUAAACUAAAAUGUGUUGCUGGAAGCAUCUUUCAGUUUUGGCAUUACAAGGUCCUUCUUCAUAAUGCAUCACCUUUAUGUAUUAAGCUUUGGCUCUUGCAAGUCUCAUCGCUCUAUAGCAGCUAGUAAUGCCUUAAGUGUAUGGGGUUUUUGGGUUGCAUGUGAAUGUAUUAUUAUUGUUACCAGUUAAAGGACAGAAACUCUCUGGCUUUCAGUCCAGAGCUAGAAAGAAAGUAUCUGAGGAGUGUUGUUGUUGAUAGUCUGGUUAGUAAUAAAUUCUGACCUGCAAAUUAUUGGCUGCACUAACAUACUACUUUUUCAUGAGUCCUACAAGAAAUUGUCCAGCUAAUGAUAGAGAAGUUAAAGUUGAGGGACAAGCAGGUAUAGCUUUUUUGCAUUUCUUUAACAUCAAAGAAAAUAUCGAAGUGACAAAAGUGUACGUAACAACUUGUGUUUAGGGUGAGUGCAUCCUUCUCCAUAGGCCCUUAUAUUAUGUUCUAAGACUGGAAACUCUUUGGGACAGGGACUGUAUCUUCCUAUGUGCGUGUAAAUCAUGCCUAAUGCAUUGUGAGCGCUACUAGAAUACAACAAUUCAUUGAAAUAUUCCAAAAACCAUUUUAAUAUUGAGACACAGGAGCCAGCCCUGAAGUCACUGCACACUGUCAUUGAGCCAAAGGCAGAUUUGGGAGUGGAAGGAAAGUGAGUUCUGACCCCUAAUCUUUGUCAGAACCACUGUUUAUGCACUGAGAUAUAAAUCGGGUAAAAUGAACAGAUUUAAGAGAGAAGCAAAAAUUGAUCUUCAAAAAGUAAGCAAACUGCAGAGAUCAAUUCAAAGAAAAAAUUGCUUCAGGGGUAUGAAGAGUACCGUGUAGAUCCUUCAGACCGAUUCUCCUGCUGAUGUAAAAUGGUACAGCACUGUUGAAACCCAGGGAGCUGCACUGAUAUACACCAGCAGAGUAUCUGACCCUUUGUCUGUCUUAUAUACUUUGUGGUGAAAAAGAUGUAGUGUGUGAAAAGAGAGCGUUAGAUAUAUGUAACUGAUGUAGGGCUUAUUUUAUCUAAAUGAAACUUUUAAAUUAGCGUUUCCUCAGAACAGGGUCUCCCAGGUUUGGGAAUCUCAGGAAAGAAAAUUCAUAGUACUUGGCUGUCUCAGGGAGAGGUCAUGUGGCUCAUCUGAAAUUGCUGCAAACAUGACUGCAGUACUGUUCUUGCAUAUACUUAGGGAACACAUGAGAAUUUCCUGGGUAGAGGCAGUUUCUUCAAUCCCCUUCCUCUUUUUUUCCCCCCCCCCACCCCCAUGGUCUCACUGAUUUCAUGUCAGCUCUCUGAUUCCCAUAUUUAAAACAAAAUUAAAAGCCUGGUUUGUGGCUGCUGCCGCAACCGCCACCACCUGUCACUCCCUCAGACCAUGUGUAAGUACCUGCUAAGGUCUCACAUGUUCACCAGAGACUACUGAUCUAUGAAAUGUGGGUUUCGAUCCAUUCUAUUGGUGAGCUGAUCAACGGACUGUAAGCUAGGAAUGAUGUGAUUUGUGUGUCGGGUGUGGAAACUACGGCUGCAGCCAUGACUGUAGCCAUUGGAGUUGACAUGAAAGGUUUUUGUUUUUUGUUUUUUUUAAUGACCAAAUUAUGUUCAAAUCAUGAGAGCUCCAAACCCCAAUCCAGUUUGUGAUAAACUCAGCACCACAGGGUGCCUGUGGGAGAUUAUAAAAGCCUUAAUAUGUAAGGAAGACUACUU
Molecule: long non-coding RNA, 3888 nt
Organism: Dermochelys coriacea (leatherback sea turtle)
Lineage: Eukaryota; Metazoa; Chordata; Testudines; Dermochelyidae
Exons: 2
Source: RefSeq, a predicted model, not a curated record